Corvus hawaiiensis (hawaiian crow) is the source of this 420-nucleotide long non-coding RNA. RefSeq lists it as uncharacterized. The record is from RefSeq and is a predicted model, not a curated record. The transcript is spliced from 3 exons. NCBI's taxonomy places the organism in Eukaryota, Metazoa, Chordata, Aves, Passeriformes, Corvidae.
UACUUGUACAGCCCACAGGAGCCCCUGCGAGAGGCGGCCGUCAGGUUCAUUGGGAUCGCCGGGCGGCGCUUUAGAAGGCAGCCGGCAGAAUUCAAGUUCAUCUGUGGAGCCCUUGAACACCUGUCAGAGGACAUCAGCCCUGCCAUCAGAAGCCUGGCACUUCAAACACUGUAUGUCCUCAGAGCAGUAGAGAGAGCUCCAUACUCCACAUUCCGGAGGCUGCAAGAUCAGCUCCGCAGGGCAUGGAAGACACGGCCUCGUCUGUCAGGCUGUGGCUUGCUGUGCUGCAUGAGCUCUGCAGAGAGCUGAUCUGGGAGGCUCUGUCUGAUGGGGCCACCUGAGCCAGCGGGGAUUUUCCUUUUCUUUACGAUUGUUCUUUUCUUCUUUUCAUUUUUCUUUAGUUUGUAAAUAUAGAAUAUG